RNAcentral lists this ribosomal RNA (875 nucleotides) under uncultured Orbiliaceae. RNAcentral's name for it is "eukaryotic LSU rRNA". The stretch from base 288 to 875 matches the Rfam family "Eukaryotic large subunit ribosomal RNA", at positions 1 to 590 of the family's 3401-position model. Lineage: Eukaryota; Fungi; Ascomycota; Orbiliomycetes; Orbiliales. The record is from RNAcentral.
UCAUCGAGUCUUUGGACGCACAUUGCGCCUUUUGGUAUUCCGAGAGGCACGCCUGUCUGAGCGUCAGUAAAACCCCUCGGCUAGUAAUUUAUUGCGAAGCCGGUGUUGACGGGGGAUCAACCGCAACCUGGUACUUCGGCCCCUCGGGGUCGAUAGUACGGCGGCGGUCACCCCCGUUUAAAUCCCGAGAGCGGAACACUGCGCCCAUGGUGUCGCAAAAAUAGUAGUAAUAUUCUUUUUGCCGAUGCGGUGGCCGGCCCCGCUAUAAGCCCCCACUUUUUAAAUUUUGACCUCAGAUCAGACGAGGAUACCCGCUGAACUUAAGCAUAUCAAUAAGCGGAGGAAAAGAAACCAACAGGGAUUGCCUCAGUAGCGGCGAGUAAAGCGGCAAAAGCUCAGAUUUGAAAUCCGGUGUCCUUCGGCGCCCGAGUUGUAAUCUGGAGAGGAUGCACCGGCGAAGCUGGCCGCCCAAGUUCCUUGGAACAGGACGCCUUAGAGGGUGAGAGCCCCGUACCCGGCGGCCCAGCUGAACCAUGUGGUGCUCCCUCGACGAGUCGAGUUGUUUGGGAAUGCAGCUCAAACUGGGUGGUAAAUUCCAUCUAAAGCUAAAUAUUGGCGGGAGACCGAUAGCGCACAAGUAGAGUGAUCGAAAGAUGAAAAGCACUUUGAAAAGAGAGUUAAAAAGUACGUGAAAUUGUUGAAAGGGAAGCGCUUGCCAUCAGAACCGGCGCCGGUCGAUCAACGUUCCCUUCUGGUUCGUGCACUCGGCCGGCUGCCGUGCCAGCAUCGGUCGCCGCGGCGGGACAAAGGCGGCGGGAAAGUGGCUCCCCUCGGGGAGUGUUAUAGCCCGCCGUGUAAUGCCGCCAGCAGGCGAC